RNAcentral lists this ribosomal RNA (550 nucleotides) under Citrobacter sp. S46_ASV_140. RNAcentral's name for it is "partial 23S ribosomal RNA". It matches the Rfam family "Bacterial large subunit ribosomal RNA", at positions 912 to 1459 of the family's 2925-position model. Lineage: Bacteria; Pseudomonadati; Pseudomonadota; Gammaproteobacteria; Enterobacterales; Enterobacteriaceae. The record is from RNAcentral.
GUUUCGGCUAGGGGGUCAUCCCGACUUACCAACCCGAUGCAAACUGCGAAUACCGAAGAAUGUUAUCACGGGAGACACACGGCGGGUGCUAACGUCCGUCGUGAAGAGGGAAACAACCCAGACCGCCAGCUAAGGUCCCAAAGUCAUGGUUAAGUGGGAAACGAUGUGGGAAGGCACAGACAGCCAGGAUGUUGGCUUAGAAGCAGCCAUCAUUUAAAGAAAGCGUAAUAGCUCACUGGUCGAGUCGGCCUGCGCGGAAGAUGUAACGGGGCUAAACCAUGCACCGAAGCUGCGGCAGCGACACUAUGUGUUGUUGGGUAGGGGAGCGUUCUGUAAGCCGUUGAAGGUGUGCUGUGAGGCAUGCUGGAGGUAUCAGAAGUGCGAAUGCUGACAUAAGUAACGAUAAUGCGGGUGAAAAACCCGCACGCCGGAAGACCAAGGGUUCCUGUCCAACGUUAAUCGGGGCAGGGUGAGUCGACCCCUAAGGCGAGGCCGAAAGGCGUAGUCGAUGGGAAACAGGUUAAUAUUCCUGUACUUGGUGUUACUGCGA